RNAcentral lists this long non-coding RNA (650 nucleotides) under Fukomys damarensis (Damara mole-rat). RNAcentral describes it as "lncRNA (ENSFDAG00000027206.1)". The record is from RNAcentral. Lineage: Eukaryota; Metazoa; Chordata; Mammalia; Rodentia; Bathyergidae.
GUGGAGCAGCCGGAGCAAACUACGACAAGGCUCUCCGCACCCUAGCCCUCAAGUCCUGCAGUGCAGCUCUGAUUACUCUGUCCUUUCCUCCCUCUUCUCAGCUCAGCGGGCUUCCUCCUAUCUCGGGUUAACCAAGUAAAACCUGACCUCGGGACUUGGCAGGCUGUCCGUCUGCUUGAAAUCUUCUUCCCCCAGAAUCAGACCCCCUCCCUCCUGCCCUCCCCUGCAACUUUCCCCCACUGGAAACUUCUGACUCCUCUUACACUGCUGGACUCAUCCAGAGGCACCCUCCUCACCCUGUGUGCUUCUGCUGUCUCUCGACCGUCUCACUCAUUAGAAGGAUCUGAGCUCCAAGAGUAGGACCAACCAGAGAGCCCAGCCUCCACCCCACAUUCUCACCAGCAACCCCUCGGAAGUGUGCAGACCAAGUGGUUGUGCAAAUGAAGGAAGACAAAUGAGCUGGGCACAUCGUUUUGACUUUGGGGAACAGAAGUCACAUGGUGCCAGUUCUGAUGAAGAAGGCAGAGGAGGACACACCAUAAUAUUUUCAUUUUUUACAAGCCUUUCUUUCCAUUGGAUGAAUCUCAGAAGCAGAGUUCACUCUAUACUUGAAAAGUUGAGGACCGCCAGCACUCUGGAAAGCAGGAGGA